Molecule: ribosomal RNA, 759 nt
Filed under: uncultured Enterobacteriaceae bacterium
Lineage: Bacteria; Pseudomonadati; Pseudomonadota; Gammaproteobacteria; Enterobacterales; Enterobacteriaceae
Description: bacterial SSU rRNA
Rfam family: Bacterial small subunit ribosomal RNA
Source: RNAcentral
AUUGAACGCUGGCGGCAGGCCUAACACAUGCAAGUCGAGCGGUAGCACAGGAGAGCUUGCUCUCCGGGUGACGAGCGGCGGACGGGUGAGUAAUGUCUGGGAAACUGCCUGAUGGAGGGGGAUAACUACUGGAAACGGUAGCUAAUACCGCAUAACGUCGCAAGACCAAAGAGGGGGACCUUCGGGCCUCUUGCCAUCAGAUGUGCCCAGAUGGGAUUAGCUAGUAGGUGGGGUAACGGCUCACCUAGGCGACGAUCCCUAGCUGGUCUGAGAGGAUGACCAGCCACACUGGAACUGAGACACGGUCCAGACUCCUACGGGAGGCAGCAGUGGGGAAUAUUGCACAAUGGGCGCAAGCCUGAUGCAGCCAUGCCGCGUGUAUGAAGAAGGCCUUCGGGUUGUAAAGUACUUUCAGCGGGGAGGAAGGUGUUGAGGUUAAUAACCUCAGCAAUUGACGUUACCCGCAGAAGAAGCACCGGCUAACUCCGUGCCAGCAGCCGCGGUAAUACGGAGGGUGCAAGCGUUAAUCGGAAUUACUGGGCGUAAAGCGCACGCAGGCGGUCUGUCAAGUCGGAUGUGAGAUCCCCGGGCUCAACCUGGGAACUGCAUUCGAAACUGGCAGGCUAGAGUCUUGUAGAGGGGGGUAGAAUUCCAGGUGUAGCGGUGAAAUGCGUAGAGAUCUGGAGGAAUACCGGUGGCGAAAGCGGCCCCCUGGACAAAGACUGACGCUCAGGUGCGAAAGCGUGGGGAGCAAACAGG